Molecule: unclassified non-coding RNA, 325 nt
Filed under: fungal sp.
Lineage: Eukaryota; Fungi
Description: partial internal transcribed spacer region
Rfam family: Eukaryotic small subunit ribosomal RNA (bases 1-46)
Source: RNAcentral
AAGUCGUAACAAGGUUUCCGUAGGUGAACCUGCGGAAGGAUCAUUACUAAAUAAUCCGUAUGGAUUUUAAAUCCAUAUCCACCUCUUGUGAACUUGUAAACUGUUUUGCUCCCUUUCGGCGUAUCCAACAACGGUGAAGGCUUGGCCCCGAGGCUCAGGUCAAGGGUUCAAGGCUUUACUGGAUACGUUAGGAAGGGUAGCCCCAUACACCUCUAGUCUUGAUUAAUUGACAUAUCAACCUCUUCUUUACUCGCGAAAGCGUGUUCGGAAGUAAAAAACAAAUAAAUAUAAAUACAACUUUCAACAACGGAUCUCUAGGCUCCCA